Molecule: ribosomal RNA, 715 nt
Filed under: uncultured Actinomycetes bacterium
Lineage: Bacteria; Bacillati; Actinomycetota; Actinomycetes
Description: bacterial SSU rRNA
Rfam family: Bacterial small subunit ribosomal RNA
Source: RNAcentral
UGUGUGAGGUACGGCCACCANGNCGACGACGGGUAGCUGGUCUGAGAGGACUACCAGCCCACUGGAACUGAGAUACGGUCCAGACUCCUACGGGAGGCAGCAGCGGGGAAUAUUGCACAAUGGGCGAAAGCCUGAUGCAGCGACGCCGCGUGAGGGAUGAAGGCCUUCGGGUCGUAAACCUCUUUCGGCAGGGACGAAGCGAUCAGUGACGGUACCUGCAGAAGAAGCCCCGGCUAACUACGUGCCAGCAGCCGCGGUAAGACGUAGGGGGCGAGCGUUGUCCGGAUUCAUUGGGCGUAAAGCGCGCGUAGGCGGCUGCGCAAGUCGGUUGUGAAAUUCCGGGGCUCAACCCCGGAACUGCGUCCGAUACUGCGUGGCUAGAGGUAGGUAGGGGGGAUCGGAAUUCCUGGUGUAGCGGUGAAAUGCGCAGAUAUCAGGAGGAACACCGGUGGCGAAGGCGGAUCUCUGGGCCUUACCUGACGCUCAGGCGCGAAAGCUAGGGGAGCGAACAGGAUUAGAUACCCUGGUAGUCCUAGCCGUAAACGUUGGGUGCUAGGUGUGGGCGGAUAUCGACCCCGUCCGUGCCGAAGCUAACGCAUUAAGCACCCCGCCUGGGGAGUACGGCCGCAAGGUUAAAACUCAAAGGAAUUGACGGGGGCCCGCACAAGCGGCGGAGCAUGUGGCUUAAUUCGAAGCAACGCGAAGAACCUUACCU